AUCACUCAAAACACAUACGCAAAGUCUGUCCGAAAGCUGUUAAAUGCUUCCUUCACAGGCAGUAUUUGAAGUGCUCCGGCGUCUACAAAAACCCAGCAUGCUUGCUCUGAUCCUCAACUUCUGCCCUCACCCCCUGCUCAGCUGCCAUCAUCAGUUUACCAGUUUAUUGUGACUUCACCCUGACCAGGACUUCAACCAGAUGUGAUUCUACACCUUGCAACUCAAGUGAUUGGUACAGACUCUUUCAGGAAGAGGAAUUCCGUCUAAUAACAUACAGGGAAUGUUCAAAGGCUGACCGAUUGUAGUUGUGACAAUUGGUGCACCUUCAGCUAAUAAUGGUG
Long non-coding RNA from Myxocyprinus asiaticus (Chinese sucker), 341 nucleotides. RefSeq lists it as uncharacterized. The record is from RefSeq and is a predicted model, not a curated record. NCBI's taxonomy places the organism in Eukaryota, Metazoa, Chordata, Actinopteri, Cypriniformes, Catostomidae. The transcript is spliced from 4 exons.